UAAGCCGUUGAAGGUGGCCUGUGAGGGUUGCUGGAGGUAUCAGAAGUGCGAAUGCUGACAUAAGUAACGAUAAAGCGGGUGAAAAGCCCGCUCGCCGGAAGACCAAGGGUUCCUGUCCAACGUUAAUCGGGGCAGGGUGAGUCGACCCCUAAGGCGAGGCCGAAAGGCGUAGUCGAUGGGAAACGGGUUAAUAUUCCCGUACUUGGUGUUACUGCGAAGGGGGGACGGAGAAGGCUAUGUUGGCCGGGCGACGGUUGUCCCGGUUUAAGCGUGUAGGCUGGUUUUCCAGGCAAAUCCGGAAAAUCAAGGCUGAGGCGUGACGACGAGGCACUACGGUGCUGAAGCAACAAAUGCCCUGCUUCCAGGAAAAGCCUCUAAGCAUCAGGUAACAUCAAAUCGUACCCCAAACCGACACAGGUGGUCAGGUAGAGAAUACCAAGGCGCUUGAGAGAACCCGGGUGAAGGAACUAGGCAAAAUGGUGCCGUAACU
RNAcentral lists this ribosomal RNA (490 nucleotides) under Salmonella enterica. RNAcentral describes it as "partial 23S ribosomal RNA". It matches the Rfam family "Bacterial large subunit ribosomal RNA", at positions 1243 to 1735 of the family's 2925-position model. Lineage: Bacteria; Pseudomonadati; Pseudomonadota; Gammaproteobacteria; Enterobacterales; Enterobacteriaceae. The record is from RNAcentral.